GACGAACGCUGGCGGCGUGCUUAACACAUGCAAGUCGAACGGAAAGGCCCUGCUUUUGUGGGGUGCUCGAGUGGCGAACGGGUGAGUAACACGUGAGUAACCUGCCCUUGACUUUGGGAUAACUUCAGGAAACUGGGGCUAAUACCGGAUAGGAGCUCCUGCUGCAUGGUGGGGGUUGGAAAGUUUCGGCGGUUGGGGAUGGACUCGCGGCUUAUCAGCUUGUUGGUGGGGUAGUGGCUUACCAAGGCUUUGACGGGUAGCCGGCCUGAGAGGGUGACCGGACACAUUGGGACUGAGAUACGGCCCAGACUCCAACGGGAGGCAACAGUGGGGAAUAUUGCACAAUGGGCGGAAGCCUGAUGCAGCAACGCCGCGUGCGGGAUGACGGCCUUCGGGUUGGAAACCGCUUUCGCCUGUGACGAAGCGUGAGUGACGGUAAUGGGUAAAGAAGCACCGGCUAACUACGUG
This 468-nucleotide ribosomal RNA is filed under the name uncultured bacterium. RNAcentral's name for it is "partial 16S ribosomal RNA". It matches the Rfam family "Bacterial small subunit ribosomal RNA", at positions 28 to 507 of the family's 1533-position model. The record is from RNAcentral.